AUGUCUAGCACAUCAAGGGUACUCAAGCAUCAUUCAGACCAUACAAGUCUAAGUCUGAUUAAAAAGCACUUUGAACAAUGCCUGGAGAGAACCUGUGGGCCUGUCUCCUUGCUUAUACCAAGGAACCACUAUCCUCUAGAACAGAAAAAGCCUAAGCGAAAGAAGCUACAGGAACACCAAGCAAACCAAGCAUAGCUGCUCAAAGAUACCUGACACACCGUAAGCAUCCAGAAGAUUGUCUGGCAUCUGACAGGCUCUCAACAAAUAUGUACUGAAUUGAAUUGAAAGUAAUUUGGUUCUCUAAUUACUAAAUCAGGUAAGGAUUAGGAAUUUGUGAUUUCAAUGCCAAAGUGAAACUAUCAAAAUGAUACAUUACCUAAUAGUCAUUGAGUUAGACCAUAGUGGGGAUGCCUGGGUGGCUCAGUGGCUGAGCAUCUGCCUUUGGCUCAGGUCAUGAUCCCAGGGUCCUGGGAUUGAGUCCUACAUCAGGCUCCCCAGAGGGAGCCUGCUUCUCUCUCUACCUAUGUCUCUGCCUUUCUAUCUGUGUCUCUCAUGAAUAAAUAAAUAAAAUCUUAAAAAAAAAAGAAUUAGACCAUAGGGGAAUUCAAACAGAAUUCUCUAUGGCAAUAAAGAGUAGGUGUUGGGAUGCUUGGGUGGCUCAGUGGUUGAGUGCCUGCCUUAGGCUCAGGGUGUGAUCCUGAGGUCCUGGGAUCGAGUCCCACGUUGGGCUCCCUGCAAGGAGCCUGCUUCUCUCUCUAGAAUAGGUAUAAUAAUUAUCUCUAGUUCAAAAGGUUGUGAAGAUUAAGUGCAUUUAUAUAUGUGUAUGUAUACAUAUAUAUACACACCUGAGUGGC
RNAcentral lists this long non-coding RNA (854 nucleotides) under Canis lupus familiaris (dog). RNAcentral's name for it is "lncRNA (ENSCAFG00000058540.1)". The record is from RNAcentral. Lineage: Eukaryota; Metazoa; Chordata; Mammalia; Carnivora; Canidae.